GAGUGGACUCCUACGGGAGGCAGCAGUGGGGAAUUUUGGACAAUGGGCGCAAGCCUGAUCCAGCCAUGCCGCGUGUCUGAAGAAGGCCUUCGGGUUGUAAAGGACUUUUGUCAGGGAAGAAAAGGCUGUUGCUAAUAUCGACAGCUGAUGACGGUACCUGAAGAAUAAGCACCGGCUAACUACGUGCCAGCAGCCGCGGUAAUACGUAGGGUGCGAGCGUUAAUCGGAAUUACUGGGCGUAAAGCGAGCGCAGACGGUUACUUAAGCAGGAUGUGAAAUCCCCGGGCUCAACCUGGGAACUGCGUUCUGAACUGGGUGACUAGAGUGUGUCAGAGGGAGGUAGAAUUCCACGUGUAGCAGUGAAAUGCGUAGAGAUGUGGAGGAAUACCGAUGGCGAAGGCAGCCUCCUGGGAUAACACUGACGUUCAUGCUCGAAAGCGUGGGUAGCAAACAGGAUUAGAUACCCUUGUAGUCCAGAGAA
This 481-nucleotide ribosomal RNA is filed under the name uncultured bacterium. Its description in RNAcentral is "bacterial SSU rRNA". It matches the Rfam family "Bacterial small subunit ribosomal RNA", at positions 329 to 802 of the family's 1533-position model. The record is from RNAcentral.